AGAGUUUGAUCAUGGCUCAGGACGAACGCUGGCGGCGUGCCUAAUACAUGCAAGUCGAACGGUCUUUUCUAUGGAAGCUUGCUUCCACUGAGAAGAUAGUGGCGAACGGGUGAGUAACACGUGGGUAACCUGCCCAUAAGAGGGGGAUAACAUCCGGAAACGGGUGCUAAUACCGCAUAGUUUUCUUGAUCGCAUGAUCGGGAAAGGAAAGACGGCCUUUGUGCUGUCGCUUAUGGAUGGACCCGCGGCGUAUUAGUUAGUUGGUGAGGUAACGGCUCACCAAGACGAUGAUACGUAGCCGACCUGAGAGGGUGAUCGGCCACAUUGGGACUGAGACACGGCCCAAACUCCUACGGGAGGCAGCAGUAGGGAAUCUUCCGCAAUGGACGGAAGUCUGACGGAGCAACGCCGCGAGAGUGAAGAAGGUUUUCGGAUCGUAAAGCUCUGUUGUCAGCAGAGAACAGGAAGAAGAGGGAAUGCUUUUUCUCUGACGGUAGCUGACCAGAAAGCCACGGCUAACUACGUGCCAGCAGCCGCGGUAAUACGUAGGUGGCAAGCGUUGUCCGGAUUUAUUGGGCGUAAAGCGAGCGCAGGCGGUGAUGUAAGUCUGAUGUGAAAGCCCCCGGCUCAACCGGGGAGGGUCAUUGGAAACUGGAUCACUUGAGUGCAGAAGAGGAGAGUGGAAUUCCAUGUGUAGCGGUGAAAUGCGUAGAUAUAUGGAGGAACACCAGUGGCGAAGGCGGCUCUCUGGUCUGUGACUGACGCUGAGGCUCGAAAGCGUGGGUAGCAAACAGGAUUAGAUACCCUGGUAGUCC
Molecule: ribosomal RNA, 815 nt
Filed under: uncultured bacterium
Lineage: Bacteria
Description: bacterial SSU rRNA
Rfam family: Bacterial small subunit ribosomal RNA
Source: RNAcentral